AGAGUUUGAUCAUGGCUCAGAACGAACGCUGGCGGCGUGGAUAAGGCAUGCAAGUCGAGCGAGAAAGCAUUCUUCGGAGUGUUAGUAAAGCGGCAAACGGGUGAGUAACACGUGUGUAACCUGCCGUCGAGUGGGGGACAACACCGGGAAACUGGUGCUAAUACCGCAUAAUGUUAUUGUGUCACCUGGCACGAUAACCAAAGGGGGGCUCUUCUAUCCUCCCGCUUGAUGAGGGGCACGCGUUUGAUUAGCUAGAUGGUGGGGUAACGGCCUACCAUGGCGAUGAUCAAUAGCCGGUCUGAGAGGAUGGCUGGCCACACUGGGAUUGAGAUACGGCCCAGACUCCUACGGGAGGCAGCAGUCUAGAAGCUUCGACAAUGGACGAAAGUCUGAUCGAGCGACGCCGCGUGCAGGACGAAGGUUUUCGGAUCGUAAACUGCUUUCGACAGGGAAAAAUGGUAUAUAGGCUAAUACCUUAUAUAUUUGAUGGUACCUGGAGAAGAAGCCCUGGCUAACUCCGUGCCAGCAGCCGCGGUAAUACGGAGAGGGCAAGCGUUGUUCGGAUUUAUUGGGCGUAAAGCGAGCGCAGGUGGUUUAAUAAGUCGGAUGUUAAAGACCCACGGCUCAACCGGGGGAAUGCGUUCGAAACUGUUAGACUAGAGUGCGGAAGAGGUUAGUGGAAUUCAUGGUGUAGCGGUGAAAUGCGUAGAUAUCAUGAGGAACACCUGUGGCGAAGGCGGCUAACUGGUCCGCUACUGACACUGAGGCUCGAAAGCGUGGGGAGCGAACGGGAUUAGAUACCCCGGUAGUCCACGCCGUAAACGUUGGAUACUAGGUGUAGGGGGAUCUACCCCCUCUGUGCCGCAGCUAACGCAUUAAGUAUCCCGCCUGGGGAGUACGACCGCAAGGUUGAAACUCAAAGGAAUUGACGGGGGCCCGCACAAGCGGUGGAGCAUGCGGAUUAAUUCGAUGCAACGCGAAGAACCUUACCAAGACUUGACAUCACCGCAAGGAACUAUGCUCCUGUAGAAAUAUGGGGGAUUAGGUAGACAGGUGUUGCAUGGCUGUCGUCAGCUCGUGUCGUGAGAUGUUGGGUUAAGUCCCGCAACGAGCGCAACCCCUAUUACUAGUUACCAGCGGUUCGGCCGGGGACUCUAGUGAAACUGCCGGUGUCAAACCGGAGGAAGGUGGGGAUGACGUCAAGUCAUCAUGGCCCUUAUGUCUUGGGCUUCACGCGUGCUACAAUGGCAAGUACAACGGGCUGCAAUACCGCGAGGUGGAGCUAAUCCCUAAAAACUUGCCCCAGUUCGGAUUGCAGGCUGCAACUCGCCUGCAUGAAGUUGGAAUCGCUAGUAAUCGCGUAUCAGCUACGACGCGGUGAAUUCGUUCCCGGGCCUUGUACACACCGCCCGUCACAUGACCCGAGUUGGUUGCUCCCGAAGUCGCUGUCCUAACCCUCGUGGAGGGAGGUGCCGAAGGAGUGGCCGGUAAGGGGGAUGAAGUGAACAAGGUAACC
This 1516-nucleotide ribosomal RNA is filed under the name uncultured bacterium. RNAcentral's name for it is "bacterial SSU rRNA". It matches the Rfam family "Bacterial small subunit ribosomal RNA". The record is from RNAcentral.